Molecule: small RNA, 638 nt
Filed under: uncultured cyanobacterium
Lineage: Bacteria; Bacillati; Cyanobacteriota
Description: bacterial LSU rRNA
Rfam family: Bacterial large subunit ribosomal RNA
Source: RNAcentral
CCCGUUAGACAUUGUGUGGCAGAGGGACCGGAGAAGGCCGAAUACGCCAAGGCCCGGAAGUGUUGGUUAACCGGGUUUCCAAAGGUAUUUCGAGGGUAGUUUAGAGAGUAACGGAGAAAAACGUCGUUUGAAGGCGUGAGGUACCGAAUACGGACCUCCUAACGGGCGGGAAAGUGGUAGAUGUCAGGGCUUCCCGAGAAAAGCUCUAAACACCAUAAACAAUGUCAGCCUGUACCCGAAACCGACACAGGUACGGGAGGUAGAGUAUACCAAAGGGGCGCGAGGAUAACUCUCUCUAAGGAACUCGGGCCAAAAUGGCCCCGUAACUUCGGGAGAAGGGGUACCUACGCAAGUAGGUCACAGUGAAGAGUCCCAGGCGACUGUUUACCAAAAACACAGGUCUCCGCAAAGUCGUAAGACGACGUAUGGGGGACUGACGCCUGCCCAGUGCCGAAGGUUAAGGAAGUUGGUUAGGGUAACCGAAGCUAAGCGACUGAAGCCCCGGUGAACGGCGGCCGUAACUAUAACGGUCCUAAGGUAGCGAAAUUCCUUGUCGGGUAAGUUCCGACCCGGCACGAAAGGCGUAACGAUCUGGGAGCUGUCUCGGAGAGAGACUCGGCGAAAUAGAAUUUGUCUGU